Molecule: non-coding RNA, 26 nt
Filed under: Mus musculus (house mouse)
Lineage: Eukaryota; Metazoa; Chordata; Mammalia; Rodentia; Muridae
Source: RNAcentral
UGAUGUGUCUGAAGACAGCAACAGUG